AGAGUUUGAUCCUGGCUCAGGACGAACGCUGGCGGCGCGCCUAACACAUGCAAGUCGAACGAGCGAGAGAGAGCUUGCUUUCUCAAGCGAGUGGCGAACGGGUGAGUAACGCGUGAGGAACCUGCCUCAAAGAGGGGGACAACAGUUGGAAACGACUGCUAAUACCGCAUAAGCCCACAGCUCGGCAUCGAGCAGAGGGAAAAGGAGCAAUCCGCUUUGAGAUGGCCUCGCGUCCGAUUAGCUAGUUGGUGAGGUAACGGCCCACCAAGGCGACGAUCGGUAGCCGGACUGAGAGGUUGAACGGCCACAUUGGGACUGAGACACGGCCCAGACUCCUACGGGGGGCAGCAGUGGGGAAUAUUGCACAAUGGGGGAAACCCUGAUGCAGCGACGCCGCGUGGAGGAAGAAGGUCUUCGGAUUGUAAACUCCUGUUGUUGAGGAAGAUAAUGACGGUACUCAACAAGGAAGUGACGGCUAACUACGUGCCAGCAGCCGCGGUAAAACGUAGGUCACAAGCGUUGUCCGGAAUUACUGGGUGUAAAGGGAGCGCAGGCGGGAAGGCAAGUUGGAAGUGAAAUCCAUGGGCUCAACCCAUGAACUGCUUUCAAAACUGUUUUUCUUGAGUAGUGCAGAGGUAGGCGGAAUUCCCGGUGUAGCGGUGGAAUGCGUAGAUAUCGGGAGGAACACCAGUGGCGAAGGCGGCCUACUGGGCACCAACUGACGCUGAGGCUCGAAAGUGUGGGUAGCAAACAGGAUUAGAUACCCUGGUAGUCCACACUGUAAACGAUGAUUACUAGGUGUUGGAGGAUUGACCCCUUCAGUGCCGCAGUUAACACAAUAAGUAAUCCACCUGGGGAGUACGACCGCAAGGUUGAAACUCAAAGGAAUUGACGGGGGCCCGCACAAGCAGUGGAGUAUGUGGUUUAAUUCGACGCAACGCGAAGAACCUUACCAAGUCUUGACAUCCUGCGACGCACAUAGAAAUAUGUGUUUCCUUCGGGACGCAGAGACAGGUGGUGCAUGGUUGUCGUCAGCUCGUGUCGUGAGAUGUUGGGUUAAGUCCCGCAACGAGCGCAACCCUUAUGGUCAGUUACUACGCAAGAGGACUCUGGCCAGACUGCCGUUGACAAAACGGAGGAAGGUGGGGAUGACGUCAAAUCAUCAUGCCCUUUAUGACUUGGGCUACACACGUACUACAAUGGCGUUAAACAAAGAGAAGCAAGACCGCGAGGUGGAGCAAAACUCAGAAACAACGUCCCAGUUCGGACUGCAGGCUGCAACUCGCCUGCACGAAGUCGGAAUUGCUAGUAAUCGCAGAUCAGCAUGCUGCGGUGAAUACGUUC
This 1344-nucleotide ribosomal RNA is filed under the name uncultured bacterium. RNAcentral's name for it is "bacterial SSU rRNA". It matches the Rfam family "Bacterial small subunit ribosomal RNA", at positions 8 to 1373 of the family's 1533-position model. The record is from RNAcentral.